GGCGGCAGGCCUAACACAUGCAAGUCGAGCGGUAGAGAGAAGCUUGCUUCUCUUGAGAGCGGCGGACGGGUGAGUAAUGCCUAGGAAUCUGCCUGGUAGUGGGGGAUAACGUUCGGAAACGGACGCUAAUACCGCAUACGUCCUACGGGAGAAAGCAGGGGACCUUCGGGCCUUGCGCUAUCAGAUGAGCCUAGGUCGGAUUAGCUAGUUGGUGAGGUAAUGGCUCACCAAGGCGACGAUCCGUAACUGGUCUGAGAGGAUGAUCAGUCACACUGGAACUGAGACACGGUCCAGACUCCUACGGGAGGCAGCAGUGGGGAAUAUUGGACAAUGGGCGAAAGCCUGAUCCAGCCAUGCCGCGUGUGUGAAGAAGGUCUUCGGAUUGUAAAGCACUUUAAGUUGGGAGGAAGGGCAGUUACCUAAUACGUGAUUGUUUUGACGUUACCGACAGAAUAAGCACCGGCUAACUCUGUGCCAGCAGCCGCGGUAAUACAGAGGGUGCAAGCGUUAAUCGGAAUUACUGGGCGUAAAGCGCGCGUAGGUGGUUAGUUAAGUUGGAUGUGAAAUCCCCGGGCUCAACCUGGGAACUGCAUUCAAAACUGACUGACUAGAGUAUGGUAGAGGGUGGUGGAAUUUCCUGUGUAGCGGUGAAAUGCGUAGAUAUAGGAAGGAACCACCCAGUGGCGAAGGCGACC
This 695-nucleotide ribosomal RNA is filed under the name Pseudomonas sp. RNAcentral's name for it is "bacterial SSU rRNA". It matches the Rfam family "Bacterial small subunit ribosomal RNA", at positions 38 to 726 of the family's 1533-position model. The record is from RNAcentral. Lineage: Bacteria; Pseudomonadati; Pseudomonadota; Gammaproteobacteria; Pseudomonadales; Pseudomonadaceae.